GACGAACGCUGGCGGCGUGCUUAACACAUGCAAGUCGAACGGAAAGGCCCCUUUGGGGGUACUCGAGUGGCGAACGGGUGAGUAACACGUGAGUAACCUGCCCUUGACUUCGGGAUAACUUCAGGAAACUGGGGCUAAUACCGGAUAGGAAUCCUUGCUGCAUGGUGGGGGUUGGAAAGCUUCGGCGGUUUUGGAUGGACUCGCGGCUUAUCAGCUUGUUGGUGGGGUAGUGGCUUACCAAGGCUUUGACGGGUAGCCGGCCUGAGAGGGCGACCGGCCACAUUGGGACUGAGAUACGGCCCAGACUCCUACGGGAGGCAGCAGUGGGGAAUAUUGCACAAUGGGCGGAAGCCUGAUGCAGCAACGCCGCGUGCGGGAGGACGGCCUUCGGGUUGUAAACCGCUCUCAGCAGGGGCGAAGCUUGUGGUGACGGUACCUGCAGAAGAAGCACCGGCUAACUACGUG
RNAcentral lists this ribosomal RNA (465 nucleotides) under uncultured bacterium. RNAcentral's name for it is "partial 16S ribosomal RNA". It matches the Rfam family "Bacterial small subunit ribosomal RNA", at positions 28 to 507 of the family's 1533-position model. The record is from RNAcentral.